Molecule: ribosomal RNA, 440 nt
Filed under: uncultured bacterium
Lineage: Bacteria
Description: partial 16S ribosomal RNA
Rfam family: Bacterial small subunit ribosomal RNA
Source: RNAcentral
CCUACGGGUGGCUGCAGUAGGGAAUAUUGCUCAAUGGGGGAAACCCUGAAGCAGCAACGCCGCGUGGAGGAUGAAGGUUUUCGGAUUGUAAACUCCUUUUGUUAGAGAAGAUAAUGACGGUAUCUAACGAAUAAGCACCGGCAAACUCCGUGCCAGCAGCCUCGGUAAUACGGAGGGUGUAAGCGUUAAUCGGAAUCACUGGGCGUAAAGAGCGCGGAGGCGGGAUCGCAAGUCAGAUGUGAAAUCCUAUGGCUUAACCAUAGAACUGCAUUUGAAACUGUUAAUCUAGAGUAUGAGAGAGGUAGGUGGAAUUCUUGGUGUAGGGGUAAAAUCCGUAGAGAUCAAGAGGAAUACUCAGUGCGAAGGCGACCUGCUAGAACAUAACUGACGCUGAGGCGCGAAAGCGUGGGGAGCAAACAGGAUUAGAUACCCUUGUAGUC